RNAcentral lists this ribosomal RNA (977 nucleotides) under uncultured bacterium. Its description in RNAcentral is "bacterial SSU rRNA". It matches the Rfam family "Bacterial small subunit ribosomal RNA", at positions 28 to 1009 of the family's 1533-position model. The record is from RNAcentral.
GAUGAACGCUAGCGGCAGGCUUAACACAUGCAAGUCGAGGGGUAGGGAAAGCUUGCUUUUCUGAGACCGGCGCACGGGUGCGUAACGCGUAUGCAAUCUACCUUUCACAGAGGGAUGGCCCAGAGAAAUUUGGAUUAAUACCUCAUAGUAUUAUAGAAUGGCAUCAUUUUAUAAUUAAAGAUUUAUCGGUGAAAGAUGAGCAUGCGUCCCAUUAGCUAGUUGGUAUGGUAACGGCAUACCAAGGCAACGAUGGGUAGGGGUCCUGAGAGGGAGAUCCCCCACACUGGUACUGAGACACGGACCAGACUCCUACGGGAGGCAGCAGUGAGGAAUAUUGGACAAUGGGCGCAAGCCUGAUCCAGCCAUGCCGCGUGCAGGAUGACGGUCCUAUGGAUUGUAAACUGCUUUUAUACAGGAAGAAACACCUCUACGUGUAGAGACUUGACGGUACUGUAAGAAUAAGGAUCGGCUAACUCCGUGCCAGCAGCCGCGGUAAUACGGAGGAUCCAAGCGUUAUCCGGAAUCAUUGGGUUUAAAGGGUCCGUAGGCGGUCAGGUAAGUCAGUGGUGAAAGCCCAUCGCUCAACGGUGGAACGGCCAUUGAUACUGUCUGACUUGAAUUAUUAGGAAGUAACUAGAAUAUGUAGUGUAGCGGUGAAAUGCUUAGAGAUUACAUGGAAUACCAAUUGCGAAGGCAGGUUACUACUAAUUGAUUGACGCUGAUGGACGAAAGCGUGGGUAGCGAACAGGAUUAGAUACCCUGGUAGUCCACGCCGUAAACGAUGGAUACUAGCUGUUGGGAGCAAUCUCAGUGGCUAAGCGAAAGUGAUAAGUAUCCCACCUGGGGAGUACGAACGCAAGUUUGAAACUCAAAGGAAUUGACGGGGGCCCGCACAAGCGGUGGAGCAUGUGGUUUAAUUCGAUGAUACGCGAGGAACCUUACCAAGGCUUAAAUGUAGAUUGACCGGUUGGAAACAG